GAUGAACGCUGGCGGCGUGCCUAAUACAUGCAAGUCGAGCGAACAGAUGAGGAGCUUGCUCCUCUGACGUUAGCGGCGGACGGGUGAGUAACACGUGGAUAACCUACCUAUAAGACUGGGAUAACUUCGGGAAACCGGAGCUAAUACCGGAUAAUAUAUUGAACCGCAUGGUUCAAUAGUGAAAGACGGUCUUGCUGUCACUUAUAGAUGGAUCCGCGCUGCAUUAGCUAGUUGGUAAGGUAACGGCUUACCAAGGCAACGAUGCGUAGCCGACCUGAGAGGGUGAUCGGCCACACUGGAACUGAGACACGGUCCAGACUCCUACGGGAGGCAGCAGUAGGGAAUCUUCCGCAAUGGGCGAAAGCCUGACGGAGCAACGCCGCGUGAGUGAUGAAGGUCUUCGGAUCGUAAAACUCUGUUAUUAGGGAAGAACAAAUGUGUAAGUAACUGUGCACGUCUUGACGGUACCUAAUCAGAAAGCCACGGCUAACUACGUG
RNAcentral lists this ribosomal RNA (497 nucleotides) under uncultured bacterium. Its description in RNAcentral is "partial 16S ribosomal RNA". It matches the Rfam family "Bacterial small subunit ribosomal RNA", at positions 28 to 507 of the family's 1533-position model. The record is from RNAcentral.